RNAcentral lists this ribosomal RNA (774 nucleotides) under uncultured Neocallimastigales. RNAcentral describes it as "partial large subunit ribosomal RNA". It matches the Rfam family "Eukaryotic large subunit ribosomal RNA", at positions 24 to 649 of the family's 3401-position model. The record is from RNAcentral. Lineage: Eukaryota; Fungi; Neocallimastigomycota; Neocallimastigomycetes; Neocallimastigales.
UACGACUACAUAUCAGGCAUAUCAAUAAGCGGAGGAAAAGAAACUAACUAGGAUUCCCUCAGUAACGGCGAGUGAAGCGGGAAGAGCUCAAAUUUGAAAUCUUCAAGGUUCUACCUUGACGAAUUGUAGUUUAAAGAAGUGUUUUCUGUUGGAGUUUUGGUAAAAGUUCUUUGGAAUAGGACAUCACAGAGGGUGAGAAUCCCGUAUUUGACCAUUAUUUCCAGCUUUGUGAUACACUUUCAAAGAGUCGGAUUGUUUGGGAAUGCAGUCCAAAAUGGGUGGUAAAUUUCAUCUAAAGCUAAAUAUUGGCGAGAGACCGAUAGCGAACAAGUACCGUGAGGGAAAGAUGAAAAGAACUUUGAAAAGAGAGUUAAACAGUACGUGAAAUUGUCAAAAGGGAAGCGUUUGACACCAGUGUUGUUUUCUCGAAAAUCAAUUAAAAAAGACUGGAUUUUGUGUUGUAUUGACUUUAUCAGCUUUCUGCACUCUUUUCUUGUCUUUCUUAAUGCACUUUUCGUUUAACAAGUCAACAUCAAUUUCUUUUGUUGUAAAAGGGUCAUUGGAAGGUGGCUUUCUUUUCGGAGAAAGUGUUUAUAGCCUUUGGCCUCUGCAAUCGGAGAGAUUGAGGUCUGCAGCGUAGAUCCUUCGGGGUUAGAUACAUUUGUGCUAAGUUAUAGCCUUUCAUAGACAACUUGUUGACUAUGAUCAGUCAUGUAGCUUACUCGCUUAUGCUAUUUUACCUACGCUUAGGAUGUUGAGUAGCGACAUACGCAC